This is a long non-coding RNA of Prunus avium (sweet cherry), 701 nucleotides long. RefSeq lists it as uncharacterized. The record is from RefSeq and is a predicted model, not a curated record. NCBI's taxonomy places the organism in Eukaryota, Viridiplantae, Streptophyta, Magnoliopsida, Rosales, Rosaceae.
AGGCAUUAUUCUGCCUUUGCAGAACACACCAUCACCAUCAAAGAAGAAAAUAAGAGCCCGGGCAGAGAGGAAGGAAGAAAGAAAGGGAGAGUGAGAGGAGAUGAAAAAGAGAGCCCGGGCAUAUAUUGUAAACACUAAAGUUGUAGCCCUAUUAUUUUACGUAGUGGAAAAGUUACUGUUGCUGCUCUCCGAGGACGUAGGACAAAUGGACAUGGAGCUCGCAGAGGCAUUGACAUGUGACAUGUAGUCACGUUUGACGUGUCUGCUAAUGAAAACCUCCUUCAAUUUCUAUAAAAUAAAUACCAUCGCAAAUAUAUAUUGCAUAUUUAUGUAUCAGACUGAAACUACUGAGACUGAUGAGAGUGCGAGUUAGGGAGAAAGAAGGAUGGCAUCUGCAUAUUGUCCAGAGCUGGUGGGAGAAGACGGGGAAGUUGCAGCGGCAAAGAUAGAGCAAGAGAAGCCUGAUGUUCAUGCAAUCCUCAUCCCCGAAGGAACUAUAAUCACCCAAGAGUUAAGGUGCAACCGGCGUCGUCACAGCGGUUCCCCGCGUUGGCUAGCUAGGCCUACUUACUAGAAGGGCUUGUUUGUCGAUGGAAAUUAUCUACCACAUCAUGUAAAUUGUGAUCAUAUCAAAUUCCUCUCAUCAAUAAAAUUUCCUGGGAAUUAUCUGUUCCAGAAAAAGAAAAGAAAAAAGUUAGAGA